ACAGAGCAGAUUUUGGGGCCGUUUGGGGGCACACAGUGCAGAUUUUGGGAUUCUGUGGGGCUGUGGGACCCCCGUGGGUUGUUGGGGGGGUCCUGGGCUGUCAUCCCUCCCCCCUUUUUUGACACUUUUGUGGCCGUGCAGGCGACGCAUGCAGGGCUGGGCUGUGCUGUGGGUGCCAGGCACCGACCACGCAGGUAUUGCCACUCAGGUGGUGGUGGAAAGGUGGCUGUGGCAACAGCGGGGUUUGCGACGUCAGGAUCUGUCCCGUUCUGAGUUUUUGGAUGAGGUCUGGGCUUGGAAGGAGAGGCACGGUGACGAAAUCCUACGCCAGCUGC
Non-coding RNA from Phasianus colchicus (ring-necked pheasant), 335 nucleotides. Lineage: Eukaryota; Metazoa; Chordata; Aves; Galliformes; Phasianidae. The record is from RefSeq and is a predicted model, not a curated record.